AACUUUGCGCAGUGGCAGUAUCUUAGCCAGUGAGGUUCAUCCGAGGUGUGAUUAUUGCUAAUUGAAAACUUUUCUCAAUGCCCCACCAUGACAACUUGAAAUAUAGUUGGCAUUGGCAAUUUUUUUUUUUGAGUUGGAGUCUCA
This 144-nucleotide small nuclear RNA is filed under the name Carlito syrichta (Philippine tarsier). Its description in RNAcentral is "U4 spliceosomal RNA (ENSTSYG00000023653.2)". It matches the Rfam family "U4 spliceosomal RNA". From Rfam's summary of the family: U4 small nuclear RNA (U4 snRNA) is a component of the major U2-dependent spliceosome. Lineage: Eukaryota; Metazoa; Chordata; Mammalia; Primates; Tarsiidae. The record is from Rfam by way of RNAcentral.